Molecule: ribosomal RNA, 511 nt
Filed under: uncultured Moraxellaceae bacterium
Lineage: Bacteria; Pseudomonadati; Pseudomonadota; Gammaproteobacteria; Moraxellales; Moraxellaceae
Description: bacterial SSU rRNA
Rfam family: Bacterial small subunit ribosomal RNA
Source: RNAcentral
AGAGGGUGCGAGCGUUAAUCGGAUUUACUGGGCGUAAAGCGUGCGUAGGCGGCUUUUUAAGUCGGAUGUGAAAUCCCUGAGCUUAACUUAGGAAUUGCAUUCGAUACUGGGAAGCUAGAGUAUGGGAGAGGAUGGUAGAAUUCCAGGUGUAGCGGUGAAAUGCGUAGAGAUCUGGAGGAAUACCGAUGGCGAAGGCAGCCAUCUGGCCUAAUACUGACGCUGAGGUACGAAAGCAUGGGGAGCAAACAGGAUUAGAUACCCUGGUAGUCCAUGCCGUAAACGAUGUCUACUAGCCGUUGGGGCCUUUGAGGCUUUAGUGGCGCAGCUAACGCGAUAAGUAGACCGCCUGGGGAGUACGGUCGCAAGACUAAAACUCAAAUGAAUUGACGGGGGCCCGCACAAGCGGUGGAGCAUGUGGUUUAAUUCGAUGCAACGCGAAGAACCUUACCUGGUCUUGACAUAGUAAGAACUUCGCGAAGAACCUUACCUGGUCUUGACAUAGUAAGAACUU